AUACGGAGGGUGCAAGCGUUGUUCGGAAUUAUUGGGCGUAAAGCGGAUGUAGGCGGUUUGUUAAGUCGGAUGUGAAAUCCCUGGGCUCAACCCAGGAACUGCAUUCGAUACUGGCAAACUAGAGUCUCGGAGGGGGUGGCGGAAUUCCCGGUGUAGAGGUGAAAUUCGUAGAUAUCGGGAGGAACACCAGUGGCGAAGGCGGCCACCUGGACGAUGACUGACGCUCAGAUCCGAAAGCGUGGGGAGCAAACAGGAUUAGAAACCCUAGUAGUCC
Molecule: ribosomal RNA, 274 nt
Filed under: uncultured bacterium
Lineage: Bacteria
Description: partial 16S ribosomal RNA
Rfam family: Bacterial small subunit ribosomal RNA
Source: RNAcentral